RNAcentral lists this ribosomal RNA (579 nucleotides) under uncultured Arcobacter sp. RNAcentral describes it as "bacterial SSU rRNA". It matches the Rfam family "Bacterial small subunit ribosomal RNA", at positions 381 to 977 of the family's 1533-position model. Lineage: Bacteria; Pseudomonadati; Campylobacterota; Epsilonproteobacteria; Campylobacterales; Arcobacteraceae. The record is from RNAcentral.
GUCUGAUGCAGCAACGCCGCGUGGAGGAUGACACAUUUCGGUGCGUAAACUCCUUUUAUAUGAGAAGAUAAUGACGGUAUUAUAUGAAUAAGCACCGGCUAACUCCGUGCCAGCAGCCGCGGUAAUACGGGGGGUGCAAGCGUUACUCGGAAUCACUGGGCGUAAAGAGCAUGUAGGCGGAUUAAUAAGUUUGAAGUGAAAUCCUAUAGCUUAACUAUAGAACUGCUUUGAAAACUGUUAAUCUAGAAUGUGGGAGAGGUAGAUGGAAUUUCUGGUGUAGGGGUAAAAUCCGUAGAGAUCAGAAGGAAUACCGAUUGCGAAGGCGAUCUACUGGAACAUUAUUGACGCUGAGAUGCGAAAGCGUGGGGAGCAAACAGGAUUAGAUACCCUGGUAGUCCACGCCCUAAACGAUGUACACUAGUUGUUGUGAGACUUGAUCUUGCAGUAAUGCAGUUAACACAUUAAGUGUACCGCCUGGGGAGUACGGUCGCAAGAUUAAAACUCAAAGGAAUAGACGGGGACCCGCACAAGCGGUGGAGCAUGUGGUUUAAUUCGACGAUACACGAAGAACUCCGAUUG